Long non-coding RNA from Neolamprologus brichardi, 2121 nucleotides. RefSeq lists it as uncharacterized. NCBI's taxonomy places the organism in Eukaryota, Metazoa, Chordata, Actinopteri, Cichliformes, Cichlidae. The record is from RefSeq and is a predicted model, not a curated record.
GAUUAUAAGAUUUGCAAAUAUUUUGAAUAAGGGUUGUAAUUCAGCUUUGCUCUAUGCUUUAAACUUUCCUCCAGAAUUUCUAACUGUCUGCAACAAAGAGCUAAAACUAACAGUCCAUCUGUCAAUGUAUCGAUAAUGUUGAUUGAGCCAUUAAUGAUCUAUUCGAAGCAAAAUAAAAAGCCCAUCAUAUUACAGGAGCCUCCAGGAGCGUGUUCAAUAUUACUUAUUUUGACCAGUCCAAAACCAAAAAUGUUUCAUUUCCAGAACAGCAGAAACAGCUUGAUCCUUUAUGUGUGAACCGACUGAAAUAUUCAAACCCAAGCCUUUGUUUCCCGAAAUUAAAUCUCCUAUGAUGUCCAAAAGCAUCAGGGUGACAUGUUUUAUAUCUCUGAUUGAUCUACACCCGAUUUUUAAAAAGAAUUGCGCAUUUGAACAGCGUUUGGCAGCACAGCAGUGGCCGGAGACUGAACUGUGCUGAAAGGUGUUAAAAAGAGAUAAGAAACAUUUUUUAAACCACACUGCAUGAUGCCAUGACCGCUUUAAAUAAAACCAAAAAAAAAAAGAAAAAAGAUGUAGGAUGUUAAAAAAAACCCCGUUUGACCAGCAGUGGAUGUGCUGUGUGGGGAGGGUGCAAUGAUUCAUAGAAGUUUUAUACAAAAAGCUUCGACUAUAGCAUGAGAUUACACAGGAAAACCCUGCUGUCUGUGGGUGGAUCCUGCCUGUCAGCAGCAGGAGGACGACGAGGUGGACGAUAUAUGUGAGGACUGAGAGAGCGCACACAUCCCCGCUCGUACAGUGCAUGUCGCACUCUUAAAGGACACUCGCACUCAUGCAUCUAUAACAUCUCUGCUUCUCCUCACCUCCAGCAGCUCCUUGUCUUGGUCAGCACAGGAAAGGGUCUGAGAGCCUCAGAGAGGGGACAAAAAAAGGGCGGAUUUCAGAGGAAGCUGAACAUUGGAAACCACUGGGCUGAAGGAUGAAGACUCCUCUGUGGAGAUCUACACGGAAAAUACAUUAACGCAGGAAAAAAAGGACAAAAACAAAAACGAGGGAGACACACAAAGGACGAAUACACAUGCACAUAAACGAACAGGACAGCACAGUCUACAGCUACAACCCCAACCCAAUCCAGACUUCACCCCAGCCCAGCCCUGGCGCCCCCGGACGCCUCACACCUGUUGAGUGCUCACCAAGAAGCGGACCGCUUGGCGAGCACUGGAAUUGGUCGAGGAGUUGAGAUCCCGAUAGGAAGAGUUAAGAGUGAUGUAGCGCACAUCUCUGACCAUGAUGUCCUCCACACGGAUAUUAUACUUCCUGAAACAUGGAGGAGAAGAUAGAGGUUAAUGAGACACGAGAGCAUGGACACCUGCAAACAUAAGGGAAGGAAAUGAACGGGAAGAUAAGCGGAAGGAGAUGAAGAGGAAAUGGAAUAAAAAAAGUGAAAAAACUCGCAGAAUCACUGGAAAAGAGGAAAGCAGCAGCAGAAUCAGCAGACUCACUCAUGAUGUCCCAUCCCCAGCUCAGGCAGAUAAGGGAGCUUCUUGAUGCGAAUGAUGGAGUCGUACAGCGAUGGUUGGAGCGCCUGGGCCACGGCGUUGGCCAGGAUCACAGCGAUCAUCACAGGCAGGAUGUGUGAGAUCUGACCGGUCAGCUCGAACACUAUGACCGCUGUGGAUACAGUGUGGGUGACCGCUCCAGACAGAGCAGCAGCACCUGUGAAUGAAGGGAAAAUCUUUUAUAUCUGUCAGUCUCCUUGAAGCCAUUUACAUGGAGCUAAAUGGCAAAGAUGGAGUGUCUGAUCCACAGAAAAAGUUCAAAUUUACAUGUAUAUACAGAAUAUAAGGCAAAAUCUGAGUUUAUACAAUUCUAAUGAGAGUCAAUUGUAAUAAUGAGUCAACAUUUUGUGUGAACACCUUUAUUCUUCAUCAUAGCCUGAACUCUCUUAGGCAAGCCUGUUUUAAAACAGUCUACAGGAACAGCUUUUAAGGCUUCCUGAAGGGCAUUCAAAGCUCUUCUUUGAAUGUUGGCUGCCUUUUAUUUUGCUCUCUGUCAAGAUGAUCUCACACCAUUUCUACAACGUUGAGUUCUACUGUGUGUUUUUCCAUCAGGUAUGAUUUUAUU